GACGGAGGGUGCUAGCGUUGUUCGGAAUCACUGAGCGUAAAGGGCGCGUAGGCGGCCUCAGGUGUCGGAUGUGAAAGCCCCGGGCUCAACCCGGGAAGUGCACUCGAAACUGGGAGGCUAGAGUAUCGGAGAGGUUGGUGGAAUUCUCGGUGUAGAGGUGAAAUUCGUAGAUAUCGAGAGGAACACCGGUGGCGAAGGCGGCCAACUGGACGAAUACUGACGCUGAGACUCGAAAGCGUGGGUAGCAAACAGG
This 253-nucleotide ribosomal RNA is filed under the name uncultured bacterium. RNAcentral describes it as "partial 16S ribosomal RNA". It matches the Rfam family "Bacterial small subunit ribosomal RNA", at positions 524 to 776 of the family's 1533-position model. The record is from RNAcentral.